Molecule: signal recognition particle RNA, 279 nt
Filed under: Cebus imitator (Panamanian white-faced capuchin)
Lineage: Eukaryota; Metazoa; Chordata; Mammalia; Primates; Cebidae
Description: Metazoan signal recognition particle RNA (ENSCCAG00000004473.1)
Rfam family: Metazoan signal recognition particle RNA
About the family: The signal recognition particle (SRP) is a universally conserved ribonucleoprotein.
Source: RNAcentral
GCUGGCCUGUAGUUCCAGCUACCAAGGAGGCUGAGGCAGGAAGCUUGCUUGAACCCAUUUCUGGCUGUAGUUCACUGUGCCUAUCAGGUGUCUGUACUAAGUUUGGCAUCAACAUGGUGACCUCCCAGGACCUGGGGACCACCAGGUUGUCUAAGAAGGGGUGAAACAGCCUAGGUUGUAAAUGGAGCAGGUCAGAACUCUUGCACGGAUCAUUAGUGGGAUAGCCCUGUGAACAGACACUGCAUUCCCCUUUAGGCAACAUAAUGAAACCCUGUUUUA